AAUAGAUACCCAGGUAGUCCACGCCGUAAACGAUGAGUGCUAAGUGUUAGAGGGUUUCCGCCCUUUAGUGCUGCAGCUAACGCAUUAAGCACUCCGCCUGGGGAGUACGGCCGCAAAGCUGAAACUCAAAGGAAUUGACGGGGGCCCGCACAAGCGGUGGAGCAUGUGGUUUAAUUCGAAGCAACGCGAAGAACCUUACCAGGUCUUGACAUCCUCUGCCAACCCUAGAGAUAGGGCGUUCCCCUUCGGGGGACAGAGUGACAGGUGGUGCAUGGUUGUCGUCAGCUCGUGUCGUGAGAUGUUGGGUUAAGUCCCGCAACGAGCGCAACCCUUGAUCUUAGUUGCCAGCAUUCAGUUGGGCACUCUAAGGUGACUGCCGGUGACAAACCGGAGGAAGGUGGGGAUGACGUCAAAUCAUCAUGCCCCUUAUGACCUGGGCUACACACGUGCUACAAUGGAUGGUACAAAGAGCUGCGAACCCGCGAGGGUAAGCGAAUCUCAUAAAGCCAUUCUCAGUUCGGAUUGUAGG
Molecule: ribosomal RNA, 529 nt
Filed under: uncultured bacterium
Lineage: Bacteria
Description: bacterial SSU rRNA
Rfam family: Bacterial small subunit ribosomal RNA
Source: RNAcentral